Molecule: ribosomal RNA, 253 nt
Filed under: uncultured bacterium
Lineage: Bacteria
Description: partial 16S ribosomal RNA
Rfam family: Bacterial small subunit ribosomal RNA
Source: RNAcentral
UACGAGGGGUGCAAGCGUUGCUCGGAAUUAUUGGGCGUAAAGGGUCAGUAGGUGGUCUCAUUUGUCUGGGGUGAAAGCCUUGAGCUUAACUCAAGAAGUGCCCCAGAAACGGUGAGACUAGAGUCCUGGAGAGGGUCGUGGAAUUCCCGGUGUAGCGGUGAAAUGCGUAGAGAUCGGGAGGAACACCAGAGGCGAAGGCGGGUCUCUGGACAGUUCCUGACGCUGAGGCACGAAGGCCAGGGGAGCAAACGGG